CCUACGGGAGGCAGCAGUGGGGAAUAUUGGGCAAUGGGCGCAAGCCUGACCCAGCAACGCCGCGUGAAGGAAGAAGGCUUUCGGGUUGUAAACUUCUUUUAAGGGGGAAGAGCAGAAGACGGUACCCCUUGAAUAAGCUACGGCUAACUACGUGCCAGCAGCCGCGGUAAUACGUAGGUGGCAAGCGUUGUCCGGAUUUACUGGGUGUAAAGGGCGUGCAGCCGGAGAGACAAGUCAGAUGUGAAAUCCACGGGCUCAACCCGUGAACUGCAUUUGAAACUGUUUCCCUUGAGUGUCGGAGAGGUAAUCGGAAUUCCUUGUGUAGCGGUGAAAUGCGUAGAUAUAAGGAAGAACACCAGUGGCGAAGGCGGAUUACUGGACGAUAACUGACGGUGAGGCGCGAAAGCGUGGGGAGCAAACAGGAUUAGAUACCCCUGUAGUC
Molecule: ribosomal RNA, 442 nt
Filed under: uncultured bacterium
Lineage: Bacteria
Description: partial 16S ribosomal RNA
Rfam family: Bacterial small subunit ribosomal RNA
Source: RNAcentral